RNAcentral lists this RNase P RNA (339 nucleotides) under Ruminococcus flavefaciens. Its description in RNAcentral is "Bacterial RNase P class A". It matches the Rfam family "Bacterial RNase P class A". Rfam says of the family: Ribonuclease P (RNase P) is a ubiquitous endoribonuclease, found in archaea, bacteria and eukarya as well as chloroplasts and mitochondria. Its best characterised activity is the generation of mature 5'-ends of tRNAs by cleaving the 5'-leader elements of precursor-tRNAs. The record is from RNAcentral. Lineage: Bacteria; Bacillati; Bacillota; Clostridia; Eubacteriales; Oscillospiraceae.
CAGACUAUGCGGUAGCGGAAACGAUAUAGUUUACGAGGAAAGUCCGGGCAUCACAGAGCAGGGUAGCUGCUAACGGCAGCCGAGGGCGACCUUAGGGCAAGUGCAACAGAGAUAUACUGCCGCCUAUACGGCGGUGAUGGUGGAAAGGCGAGGUAAGAGCUCACCAGAGCGCUGGAGACAGCGCUGCUAUGUAAACCCUAUCCGAUGCAACGUCUAUUGGUGCCUGUUAUCUCAACGUCGGCUCGGCGGAUAACAGGUAAUGACGGCUUCAGCUUAUCGGCGACGGUAAGCGUAGAUAAAUUACCGCACACGACAGAACCCGGCUUAUCGGUCUGGUCA